GUGUCAGCAGCCGCGGUAAUACGUAGGUGGCAAGCGUUGUCCGGAGUUACUGGGCGUAAAGGGCGUGUAGGCGGCCUUUUAAGUCAGACGUGAAACCCCUGGGCUUAACCCAGGAACUGCGUUUGAAACUGGAGGGCUUGAGGACCGGAGAGGGUAGUGGAAUUCCCAGUGUAGCGGUGAAAUGCGUAGAUAUUGGGAGGAACACCAGUGGCGAAGGCGACUGCCUGGACGGCACCUGACGCUGAGGCGCGAAAGCUAGGGGAGCAAACGGGAUUAGAUACCCCGGUAGUCCUAGCUGUAAACGAUGGGUACUAGGUGUGGGAGGUAUCGACCCCUUCCGUGCCGCAGUUAACACAAUAAGUACCCCGCCUGGGGAGUACGGCCGCAAGGUUGAAACUCAAAUGAAUUGACGGGG
This 415-nucleotide ribosomal RNA is filed under the name uncultured prokaryote. RNAcentral describes it as "bacterial SSU rRNA". It matches the Rfam family "Bacterial small subunit ribosomal RNA", at positions 505 to 918 of the family's 1533-position model. The record is from RNAcentral.